ACUUAAAUAGUUUAAAAAAAAUGUAAACUUGUGGCGUUUAAGAUAUAGAGUUCCUAUUUUGAGUA
RNAcentral lists this transfer RNA (65 nucleotides) under Atergatis integerrimus. RNAcentral describes it as "tRNA-His". Lineage: Eukaryota; Metazoa; Arthropoda; Malacostraca; Decapoda; Xanthidae. The record is from RNAcentral.